UAAUACUUGGCGGCAAGUCCAACUUACAUGCCACCUCACCAACCUGCUGACAAAACCAAGGGUCUCCACACAAGAAGGGCCAAUUCUGAUCCUGCCAAAAAUCCACUCACCAAGUUUCCUUCCUAAUGACAUGCCCCUUACACGUACAGAAAAAAUCCUUAACAUCUACAUCACAUCAUCCUCGAUAUAACAUCCAUCUGAUCGCAUCAACCGACACAACCCAUGCCAUCUUGACACAAGAUUC
Molecule: long non-coding RNA, 244 nt
Filed under: Ricinus communis (castor bean)
Lineage: Eukaryota; Viridiplantae; Streptophyta; Magnoliopsida; Malpighiales; Euphorbiaceae
Description: long non-coding RNA (RCOM_LNC003555)
Source: RNAcentral